UGGAAAUCAAAGUUGCCGCCCCCA
Molecule: non-coding RNA, 24 nt
Filed under: Drosophila melanogaster (fruit fly)
Lineage: Eukaryota; Metazoa; Arthropoda; Insecta; Diptera; Drosophilidae
Source: RNAcentral